RNAcentral lists this ribosomal RNA (349 nucleotides) under Pectobacterium actinidiae. RNAcentral's name for it is "bacterial SSU rRNA". It matches the Rfam family "Bacterial small subunit ribosomal RNA", at positions 1 to 343 of the family's 1533-position model. The record is from RNAcentral. Lineage: Bacteria; Pseudomonadati; Pseudomonadota; Gammaproteobacteria; Enterobacterales; Pectobacteriaceae.
CUUAAAUUGAAGAGUUUGAUCAUGGCUCAGAUUGAACGCUGGCGGCAGGCCUAACACAUGCAAGUCGAGCGGUAGCACAGAGGAGCUUGCUCCUUGGGUGACGAGCGGCGGACGGGUGAGUAAUGUCUGGGAAACUGCCUGAUGGAGGGGGAUAACUACUGGAAACGGUAGCUAAUACCGCAUAACCUCGCAAGAGCAAAGAGGGGGACCUUCGGGCCUCUCGCCAUCAGAUGUGCCCAGAUGGGAUUAGCUAGUAGGUGAGGUAAUGGCUCACCUAGGCGACGAUCCCUAGCUGGUCUGAGAGGAUGACCAGCCACACUGGAACUGAGACACGGUCCAGACUCCUACG